UGGUGGACCAAGCUGGAUGGUCCCAUUGGGAAGAAGAGAUUCAAGAAGUGCAAGCUUGAGCGGUUCGAACAACAACAUCCCUGCACCAAACAACACUUUCCAGACAAUCCUCAGCAAGUUUAAUCGUCAAGGACUUGAUGUCACCGACCUUGUCGCUCUCUCCGGUAAGCUUUCUUCAUUCUAUCACAGUUACUUUACAUGCACGGUACAAAUAAUAAAAUAAACCCUAUAACCUUAAUUUGUUUAUCAGGGAGUCACACUAUUGGAUUCUCGAGAUGCACAAGUUUCAGACAGAGACUAUACAAUCAGUCCGGAAACGGUCGUCCAGACAUGACAUUGGAACAAUCAUUCGCUGCUAACUUGCGACAAAGGUGUCCAAGAUCUGGAGGGGACCAGAAUCUCUCGGUGUUGGACAUCGUCAGUGCGGCGAAAUUCGACAACAGCUAUUUCAAGAACUUGAUAGAGAACAUGGGUUUGUUGAACUCGGACCAGGUUCUGUUCAGCAGUAAUGAUAAAUCGAGAGAUCUUGUAAAGAAGUAUGCAGAGGAUCAAGAAGAGUUUUUCGAGCAGUUUGCCGAGUCGAUGAUCAAGAUGGGAAAUAUCUCUCCCUUGACCGGUUCGAGUGGUGAAAUCAGAAAGGAUUGCAGGAAGAUAAACUCUUGAAUUCAUGAUAUGAGUAAAAUGUUUCAAUAAAUGUGUGACAACUGUUUAUUUGCGCUUUUGUUCUUCCUUAUGUCGUGUGAAGUUUCAAGGUGUGCUUUUUUUUUUCCUUUUUUUUUCAAUGUGUGCUUGCUAUUUUGGUUUUGUAUUAAGAUAAGAUAACAAUUAUUAAGAAAUAUUUUCUAAAUUUGAGUUAAAAUAUUAGAGCAUCUUUAUUUGGAAGAUAUGUUUUUGUAGGUUUAUGUCUCUUAUUGGAGUUAAAAGAUGCUUCGUUUUUGUAUUAGAACUUAACAACUCACAGAAAUUAUAUAAAAAAAUUAUGCUAUUUGGUAGAGUGAUGAACCGAAUUGAUUACUUACUUAGUCGGUUAUGUCCUGGAAAAUUGGUUUGAUAGAACAUAAAAAAUCGGUUUAUUUAGAUCAACCCAAGUACGAGAGAAGGACCUUCCGAGCUAGCUAGAGGGUUUGACGAUUAACUGAAAGCGAUAUUAUCCGUCGUGAUCUUCAAUCGGAAUCUGCCGGCGAUAUCCAAAUUCGGCGUAAUCCAAUCCGAACCCCGAAUCGGAGACGACGACGACGACGACGAUACAGUACUAAACUAUGCAGAUACUGAGGUGCCCACACAGUUUCAUUCAGCUUCUGCUCAUCUCCGGUAAAAUGCCAAUUAAGUGAUUUUCUCCCUCUUACGAAUUUGAGAGCUUAUGAAAAUUUAUUUGCAGCUUUGGUGAUUGGAUUUGAGGGGGCUGGGUCUGUACCCGUCCCGGAUUCGAACUGCUACGCUCUCGACAAUUCAAGCCGUCUUGUCGAUUUUGUAUCCUCUUUUUAUUAAUUUGUUUUGUAGCUUUGGAUCAGUUAAAGAGUAAAGGUGUUUGCUUUGAGUGUGUGUGUUGUGAAGAUGAUUUCUUUAACUUGGGUUGAUCAGAGUAGCUGGAUUGGUCAUCCGUUUGAAUAUGAUGGCAAGGUUUGUGUAUAUAUGCAUUCUCAGUUAAGAGUUUUGAGAAGUUUAGGUUUUGAUUUAAGUUAUCUUUUAUGGAUGUAGGAGUUUGAUUUGGUGGUUAGGUUUUGCAAGGAUGUUGAAACAAGAGGGCAAGCGGUAACACUCCUCAUAUUGUCAAACUUUUGUUCAGCUCUAGAUGAUUCAAUAAAAUCACUUUUGAUUUGUGUGCAGGGUUAUGUUGAUUUUGGACGAUUUGACCCGUUGAGCUACUUUGUUUCUAGCUCUGAAAAGUUUGAUUUUGUUCAAGUAAGGACCUCCUCUUUCUCUCAUAGUUUUUUUAACAUCAUAACCAGUUGUUGCAUUGAGUAGAAAUGUGUUUUAUUCUGGACAUAGAUUUGAUUUUCUGUGUUUGUUUCAUGAUUUGUGAUAUACAAUGUAGGGGUUUUACCACGGAGACCUGUCGAAUUGUGAGCAGAGUUAUGACAAACUUGGACGUACAGCACAGGUUACAUAUCUGCACAUGAUUUGUAUUGUUGAAAAAAUGUAAUGUCUCUUUUCUUAGGUCUGGUGUCUAUGUUUUGUUCAGGUCAAUAUUAUUUGUGGGAACUGUGUUGAUGGACGCUGUAAAGGUAUGUCUGAAUCUUCCUUUUUUUUUUCAUUUUCAUUACAGAUGUUUAAACGUCAAAAAUGCUUCUCAAUUCUUGAAGAUCUAUUUAGGUUUUCAUUCUUUCUUUUCCUUACUUCAGGUGGACUUGGAUGCAUAUGUAGUGUCACUCAAGAUUCAACUUGCAGGUCAGUGUCUGCAACUGUCUAUCUCUCAUUAUACAAGAAUAAUCGUGCAUCGAUCUUUUUUUUAAAUGUAUUUUCCUGCUCUUUUUCCACUGGUCUAGAGUUACUGUCGAGUUGGCUAUUCCAUGUGAGAAACCUGGCCCUCGUGUCUUCAAGGGUUUCACGGUCGGUUUGCAUCCUCGCUCAUGGGAACUUGUAAGAACAGAACAAACACUAAAUUUCUGAUAACAGCCUUUUUCACACUGAACAAAAACUUAAAAGUGGAUUUGGUUUUGGAACCUGCAGAUUUAUAAUGGGAUGACACAGUUUGGAUUUGACAAGCCCCGUCGUGAGUUUAGGUAUGGAAUCAAGAACCUAGUUCUGUUCAUGUUUGAGUCCCUAUGUAUUUACUAUAUGAAGUGUUCCUGAUUUUGGCAGCUUCAAGACCGAGCAGACUCAUCUUACACUCUACAUGACUGCAAUUGCUUCUCUUUCAACAUUGGUAGGGAAGCCUAUCGUCAAGGUCUCCCCGGAGAAUGGUCUUGCCGUUAAGAUAUCUGGUUCUUCCUUGACUGGGAAUCAUCCAACAACUUUAUCUCCUUCAACUUUAGUACUGGACUGGAACUGUAAUAACCUCAUUUCUUGAUGCCUUUGACCUUUGCUUUUACAAAUUCUAUAACCUCUUUCUUUUUCAAAGGUGAGAAAUCUCGUAAGACUCCGUAUGAAGUCAAUGUCACCAUCCCGGUGGAUGGUUAUGAUCCUGUUCAGUUUUUCCUCACAAAACUCUGUGGUGAGCUUAUCAUCUACAUGGAUUCUCUAUAGCUUGCUCUGUCUCUCUCUGAUACAAUACUUUUGUUUUUUUCUUCAGAAUACAACCAAGGUGCUGAAGGAGGAUCAGCGAAAGGAUGGGCUAUAUUUGGAGUUUUCUCCUGCGUGUACUAUAAUAAUCUCUUUCUCAGAAUCACAAAUGCUUUGUAACUGGAGAACAAGCUUCAACUAAUUGUGUUCUUGUGUGUUGCUUCUGAUCAGAUCCCUCGUUGCAUUUACACUUUUCUGCUGUGGAGGAUUUGUCUACAAAACAAGAGUAGAACGCGUGGUAUCAUUCUUGAUUCUCUAAUUCUUCACGCACGCUAUAUUAUGUACACACAGUAGCACCGAUACUGAUAUGUUCCAUAUGGGCGCAGCGUGGGAUUGAUGCAUUGCCAGGCAUGUCACUUCUAUCAGGCUUACUAGAAACUGUAAGCAUUUCCAAAAAUGGACUCAAAAGUAUUCAUUUAUGAUGAAUCAAUUAGAUAGCUCACUGUAUGAAUCCUCACAAGAGACAAUUUAUACGUAAUGUAAUGGAUAUGGUCUUUGUAUACAGGCGAGUGGAGGUGGACAAAGCUACUCAAGAACUGAAGAGAUCAACAAUGCUUUUGCCAAUGAAGUCUCAUGGGACCGCUCUUCCACGUCUUCUACUCAAGCACCAACGCAGAGACCAAGUGAAAGAACAUAUGGUGCUAUCUAACUUGCUUAUUGCCUUUGCUAGUGGUUCUGUCUCAGUCAAUGGUAUGGUAUGCAGUUGAACUGUGUUUUUUACUUUAAUGUUUGGUUUCUAGAAUGAGGGAAAACAAAUUGUGAAAGAGUCAAAAAAGUUGAAAGCUUCACUCACCUUGAGAUUGCUUUUACCUGCAGAUUCAUGUGUUGUGGUAGAUGACGACAAACAAAGUUUCCUUUCUUUGCUUUGGUUACAAAGAUCAAGAGCGUGUUCACAAGUCAAUAAAGAUUGACACUUUUUUGUUGUCAAAGGAGUAGUUAGAAUCUCUUCCUACUCUCUUCUCUUUCUCACUACAUAAAAGUCUUGGCCUCUGUCUCUUCGAACAUAGUUUUAUGUAUAAGUGUAUUACCAAGUCAUUUGCAAAAGUAAAAAUAUUAUUUCUUUUCGACUCUUUUUUUCAGAUUAGUUAAAUCUAGGUAUUGUAUUAGUAUAUUAUUUAUUCUGUUCAUACUUGAUUUCUUGACCUUUUAUUUUACUUUUACAACAAGAUAAAUCAGUAAAACUUAGUCUCUUAGCUUUUUUUAUUUUUAAGAACCGGUUUUUAGUUUUUUUUAGUUAAAAGUUAAGAGAAUGUUUUUAUAUUCCGCUAAGAAUCUCAUCGUAAAAAUUCUCCAUUAAUCAUGCUCUUAACUGCUUCCAAGACAUCAAAACUCAAUAAUCCACGACUGAAGUGAAAGGAUGAAACCAUUUAUGAGCAAGACCGAUUUUAAGAUUUUAAAAGUUAUAAACAAUGUAAGCCCUUAGUCAAAAAAAAAAGUUAUAAACAAUGUAAUAAAAAUUAUUAUCAUUUUAUUUUAACUAUUGGAAGGCUUUAAAAUUUUGAGCUAAUGUUUUAUUUGUCUAUGUUAAGAAUAAUUCUGUCCAUGCGAUUAUGAUCUCGAAGGCAUACAUUCUUUAUGUUAUAGACCAGCAUUUUUGUGUGUAUACAAUUCGAACAUUUAAUCAUAGAAAGAAAGAAAGAAAGAAAGAGUUAAUAAUUCUCAAAUUAUUGGUACUAGUCGUUAACAUAUGGAUAAAGAUCAAUUUCAAUAUAUUUAAAACUCAAAACUUUGCUUUGCCUUUCCCCCUCCAAUGAAGUCAAAUCAAUUGUAAAUAAAUAACUAAACCAAAAAGGAGGUAAAUUAGUCAAAUUAAGCAGGCAAUGUUGGGUACCAAACACAAACUUUAGUCUCUUUUAAUCUUCUUUUCUCCAAUAUUUUUUUUACAUUUUAUUUUUCUAGCAGUUCCCUUGAUUAUUAUCUUAAUCUCUAUCUAGUUAGUUACCAACUCCACUUCUUACUUCUUAUUCAAAGUCUCUUCCUAUAAAUACCUUCUUCCUCUCCUCUUGCUUCAUAUCACUUCUCAUCACAAAGUCUUCUCUCCUUUCUUCAUCUUCUCGUCAAACAUAAUGGCAAGACUCAGCAGCUUUCUCUUUGUUCUUUCUCUCCUUUGCGUUCUCCCUAUUUACCUCUGCCAACAGAGCUAUGGAGGCAAACUAAACCCUGGUUACUACGCACAUUCAUGCCCGCAAGCCGGAGAGAUCGUGAGAUCAGUUGUAGCUCAAGCUGUUGCUAGAGAGACACGUAUGGCUGCUUCCUUGAUGAGACUUCAUUUCCACGACUGCUUCGUUCAGGUUUGGUUAACUUCUUCUGUACGUUCCAUCAUUUUUUGUUUGUUACGUACUGAGCAAGGUAACUGUGAAAUGCAGGGUUGUGAUGGCUCCUUGCUUCUAGACAGCAGUGGGAGGAUAGUGAGUGAGAAAAGCUCCAACCCUAACAGCAAAUCAGCUCGUGGAUUUGAAGUAGUUGACCAGAUCAAAGCUCAACUUGAGAAACAAUGCCCUGGAACUGUCUCUUGUGCUGAUAUUCUAACCCUAGCCGCUAGAGACUCCUCUGUUCUUGUAAGUCUUCUCUACAAUGUUUGUUAAAAAAAUUUGAAAAAAGAGCUGAUUCGGUUUGGUUUGGUUUGGUUUAGACUGGUGGACCAAGCUGGAUGGUCCCAUUGGGAAGAAGAGAUUCAAGAAGUGCAAGCUUGAGCGGUUCGAACAACAACAUCCCUGCACCAAACAACACUUUCCAGACAAUCCUCAGCAAGUUUAAUCGUCAAGGACUUGAUGUCACCGACCUUGUCGCUCUCUCUGGUAAGCUUUCUUCAUGCUAUCACAGCUACUUUACACGCACGGUACAAAUAAUAAAAUAAACCCUA
Molecule: long non-coding RNA, 6085 nt
Filed under: Brassica rapa (field mustard)
Lineage: Eukaryota; Viridiplantae; Streptophyta; Magnoliopsida; Brassicales; Brassicaceae
Description: long non-coding RNA (BRAP_LNC000033)
Source: RNAcentral